This 100-nucleotide transfer RNA is filed under the name Candidatus Nitrosopumilus sp. RNAcentral's name for it is "Nitrosopumilus sp. tRNA-Leu". It matches the Rfam family "tRNA". Rfam says of the family: Transfer RNA (tRNA) molecules are approximately 80 nucleotides in length. Their secondary structure includes four short double-helical elements and three loops (D, anti-codon, and T loops). Lineage: Archaea; Thermoproteati; Nitrososphaerota; Nitrososphaeria; Nitrosopumilales; Nitrosopumilaceae. The record is from RNAcentral.
GGAGGAGUAAUCAAGCCUGGCCAAAGAUGCAGGACUUAAGAUCAAAUAAUGGGUGAUCCUGUCUUUCAGGAGUUCGCGGGUUCAAAUCCCGCCUCCUCCA